Sturnus vulgaris (Common starling) is the source of this 1488-nucleotide non-coding RNA. The record is from RefSeq and is a predicted model, not a curated record. NCBI's taxonomy places the organism in Eukaryota, Metazoa, Chordata, Aves, Passeriformes, Sturnidae.
AAAUAACCAAAAAGCUUUUUUUUGGUGCAUUCUCUUGAGUGACAUUUUUUAAAAUGAUACUUUAUAUUUUAGACUUAUAUUGAGGGAGUCUAGGCAACAGCUAAACUUUGAAAACAAUAUGCUUGUAUGAAAAAAUAGUCUGUAAAAAUAGUGGGUUUUUUUUAAAAAAACGUUUUAUUGAAGUGCAGACUGCAUGACAGCUCUGAAUGUUUCCCAACAGUGUAUCUGUUCUGACAUGUGUCCUAGUUUUAGACCUUUUCCAAGUUCAUGAAUGCAUUUUCUUCAGAGGGCUCUAUUAAAGCCCAGCAGUAUUUCUUUCAGGAUACUUCAUCUUGCUUGUCCUCCCAGAACUAGCUGAGAUCAAGCAUGUUUCCACACAGUUCUGGAACGUCCGAGAAUGCAGGUUUCUCACUUAAAAGCUUCUGCAGCUGUGUGUGAGCAGUAAUAAAUGGUUGACACAAGCCUCUGGGGACAGCUUUAAAUGGGUGAACUGUUCCCUGUUCCAGCCGUCUCGGGGAUUUUUUUCCCCACUGGUUGGAUGCUGUGCUAUGAGCCUGACCCAAUCCUUAGUGACAGCUUGUCGGGCUGAUUAAUGCAGACUCCAGAGAACAGCUCUUUGCUCUCUGAUUGAUUCAUUUUACCAAUAGAACUCACAUUCCUGUAGUGUGAAUAAUAAACAAGUGAUUUAAUGAGUACUCCCCAACCUAUUCCAAUGACAUAUCCUGACUGAAGCAGCACAUGCUUUUGGAAAGCUGAAAUACUCCCUGUAUGUUACAUGCUGAAGAUCCACUGAAUUAUAUACUUCUCCCAUAAAUCCAAAUUAGAAAGUUAAGGAUUAAUAUUCUACUGUGCUGUGCCAUUAGACACAUUAUCAGAAAUGUCGCUGAUGUUUAAAUUGUUACUUCCUUCUCAUUUUUCUGGUUCUUAACCAGUGAUUUUGUUUUUUUGCUAUGUGCUUCCCACCAUUAAAUAUGUUUAUCAUGAAACAAAAUUAUUUCUUUGCAACAUUCCCUCCCCCCCCUUUUUUUUUUAAUCUUGGAAGGUGACAUGCUAAACGUAGAAGAAUAAAAUUUGUUCUUCCUAAAGGCUGUCCUUAUUCCCUGCAUCCCUGAAGGUGGUGUCCCACCACAUUCUAUGGUUCUGUGUAUAACUCUUUGUAGGAACUGGCUCUCCCAGUUCCUGUAUCUUGGGAAACUCUCGGGAACACAAAGAAGCAGCAUUACAGCACUUCAGGAGGAUAGGGGAGUGGAACCACAGCAGUGGAAAGAAGGAAGAAUUUCUUGUUUGGGUCUGGAUGAUUUCUGUUUCCUUAUUAUACAAUAACUCUUACUAUUGCAAUUAGGAGAUCCUGACUCUGGAUCUACAAAGAGUGUUCUCCAGCAAACAUAUUCAAGAGAGAUGUGCAUAAAAUGAAUGUGAAAGGAGGGAAACAACGCUAGUAUAAUUUGCUUUCUUGUGGAAAUACAGACAUCAGUGGAAAGAAGCAAG